RNAcentral lists this long non-coding RNA (370 nucleotides) under Elaeis guineensis (African oil palm). Its description in RNAcentral is "long non-coding RNA (EGUI_LNC052186)". Lineage: Eukaryota; Viridiplantae; Streptophyta; Magnoliopsida; Arecales; Arecaceae. The record is from RNAcentral.
GGUUGACCCAUCACCAAUAACUGUUAGGUGAGGUGAUGAGCCAGUUGGUGAGAUCGCACCACCCACUAGAAAUCACUGAUCACAGAGAUUUUCACAUCUCUACCGAGGGAGUGUAGGGAUCUGAGAAAAUAGUGGGAGCCUAAUUUGUUUAAAAAUGAAAUCCCUAAACAAAUUGGUUAAGUCUGAUUACAAACUCUAACUAGAAACUUUUGACUCUCUACAGGAAACAUGUCUACUUCCAACCCCCUGACCAAAAUACUAGACACCCACAGAUUGAUUGGACCCAAUUUCAAAGACUGAUUGAGGAACUACAGAAUUAUUCUGGGUUUCAAAAAAUUGACUCAUGUCUUGGACCAGGACCCACCUGCCA